This is a non-coding RNA of Buceros rhinoceros silvestris, 73 nucleotides long. Lineage: Eukaryota; Metazoa; Chordata; Aves; Bucerotiformes; Bucerotidae. The record is from Rfam.
UGCAGAUGAUGUGGAAGAAUAUUUGCUAUCUGAGUGAUAGUGCUGACACGUUGCCACCAAGAUCACUGAUGCA